AAAGCGUGCGCAGGCGGUUUGUAAGACUGUCGUGAAAUCCCCGGGCUCAACCUGGGAAUGGCGAUGGUGACUGCAAGGCUAGAGUUUGGCAGAGGGGGGUAGAAUUCCACGUGUAGCAGUGAAAUGCGUAGAUAUGUGGAGGAACACCGAUGGCGAAGGCAGCCCCCUGGGUCAAAACUGACGCUCAUGCACGAAAGCGUGGGGAGCAAACAGGAUUAGAUACCCCUAGU
RNAcentral lists this ribosomal RNA (230 nucleotides) under uncultured bacterium. RNAcentral's name for it is "partial 16S ribosomal RNA". It matches the Rfam family "Bacterial small subunit ribosomal RNA", at positions 562 to 791 of the family's 1533-position model. The record is from RNAcentral.